RNAcentral lists this long non-coding RNA (1246 nucleotides) under Homo sapiens (human). Its description in RNAcentral is "non-protein coding NUP50-DT:33". The record is from RNAcentral. Lineage: Eukaryota; Metazoa; Chordata; Mammalia; Primates; Hominidae.
GAGAAUGCCGGUCUCGCGCAAGCGCGCACGCGCCGACCUUGAUCUCGUAGCCGGCGCCAGCAGCCGCGCUUUGGGGCGUCGGCUCACGUGGGGCCGGCAACGCGUCUUCCAGGAUGUUCGCGCGCUAGUCGCCGCUGAGGGGCCGGCGAUGCGCGAGGAGUUCCGGCGAGGAAGGUCGGUCAGUGGACAUGGCCGAGGCCCGCGGUGUCCGCGUGUGGGAGCUGCAGGGCUGAGGAGAGGCCGCCCGCAACCCUCGGGAAUCGUGUGAGGAACAGAAUUGCCAUUGGGCCCAGGGAGAGACUACACUUCUUGUCUGCUUUGUUGCUAGUGCGGCCUUGUGGCCAAGCACAGAACGUGUGCAGUGAUGAUGGUGCAACUUCUAGGUCGUCCCCAGCAUGGAAAAUGAGCCCUGGGCAUGGAAGAUGAGCCCUGGUCCUGCAGCGGUGCUCUUUCCUCUUCUCACAAGCUGGAAUGUGCAUGUGCUCCCACCCAGCUUUGACCAUGGGGCGAAAACAGUACUCUGCAGUCUGGCAGAGCAACAAGGUGGAAAGGGCCUGGGUCCUUGAGUGACGUCAUGAGCCCUCUCACUGUCCCGACUUUGGGACUGUUAUAUGAUAAGGACUUUCUGUGAGUCACUGUCUUUUAGAGUCUCUCUGUUUUAGCUGCCUGGACUUUAUCCUGAAUAAUAUGGCUGUUAUCAUGGGUAUAGUGUUACUAUGAGCCUCAUCUAAGUAAUUUCUACUCUGCCUUUGACCACUAAACUCAUGUUGGACAAGAGUCACUUAGCAUUAUUUUUUCCUCAAUGAAGAGGUUAAGAUGGAGGGAGCAGGAGAAAUUGAGGCCUGUGUUUUACCAGAAGGUGAAGGGCUGUCUUUGCCUUUCCUACAUUUAUGAAGGAUAAUUCUAGACAAAAACAUUAAGUUCAUAUCAAACCAUCUGCUUUGUGAAGCCAUGGGCUUUGCUAGAACUUUCUGUGACAUGACAUUUAUUAACCCGAGUCUACCUGGAAGUUAGAGCUGAGGAAGUUUUCCUAGAGUGGAAAAAGUCCAAUGCACUUGUAAAAGUCAGACCAAGCUCAGCUCAGAUUUCAGUUUUAUUAGAAGUAUGUCACCUUCCUGAGCCCUUAUUAUUUCCCCAUCUGUGAAAUGAGGACACCGUUCUCUCUUUCUAAGCAUUGCUGGGAAGACCACACACCACUGAGACAGAAGGUGGGGCUAGCGCAGUUCUGGGCAUUUUGUACACCCCC